UACGUAGGGGGCGAGCGUUGUCCGGAUUUAUUGGGCGUAAAGAGCGUGUAGGCGGCCAGGUAGGUCUGCUGUGAAAACUCGAGGCUCAACCUCGAGAUGUCGGCGGAAACCAUCUGGCUAGAGUCCGGAAGAGGAGAAUGGAAUUCCCGGUGUAGCGGUGAAAUGCGCAGAUAUCGGGAAGAACACCCGUGGCGAAGGCGGUUCUCUGGGACGGUACUGACGCUGAGACGCGAAAGCGUGGGGAGCGAACAGG
Molecule: ribosomal RNA, 253 nt
Filed under: uncultured bacterium
Lineage: Bacteria
Description: partial 16S ribosomal RNA
Rfam family: Bacterial small subunit ribosomal RNA
Source: RNAcentral